GGAAGCGAAGAGUCAUCACCAUGCUAGGAGUCACAUAGGAGGAAUUAGAAUCAUACUUCUCUCUCAAAGGGAUUGAAAGUUGAGAACAAAAUGAAACGGGGAGGAGGAAGUGUGCAGAGUUUGGGAAAGAACACAAUUGGUGUCCGGGCUGACAGGAACCAACUAAUUGAAGAAUGAGCUCCUGGGCUCAGCUACUGUCUUUUUUUUUUUUUUUUCUUUUCUCUCUCAGAUACUGUCUUUUGUAAGCCACACCUGAGUUUGCCUGCCUUAAGAGUAGCAAGAGCCUGAGGCCCCAGAGGACACUGGGGUACAAAGGAGGCACAGACCAGGGCUGGAAAGGCGUCCUCACUGGCGAAUCCCCUGAGCCCUGCAGGUCAAGAGAGGUGUGUACCCUGCCCCCUUUCUGGAUCCCGGGCCAGCCUUGCCCUUCUCAGCCCGAAGGCUGUGACACCUGGUGUCUGAUUCCAGCUGGAGCCAUAAAGAGCACAUUCCUCCUGGAUAAGCUGUCCAAACCCACCAUAAUAUCUGCUGUUCAACCUGACAUCGCAUGGACCUUUACUGCAUCUUUUACACGCAAUCGGAAGCAUCCGUUGGACACAAAAGAGGCACCCAUGAUGCUCUUUCCAGUGUGUAGUACCUUCCCCCCACCCCAGACAGUGUCAGUCCCUCUCUCUGUCUCCAUUUAUGAAAAUCCUACCUAUCUUACAGGGCUUAAGUGCCACCUCUGCCAUGAAACCGUCCUUUAUCUUUUGAAACCAUAAUAAUCCUCUUUCCUUUAAACUUACAGAUUUCCCAUUUGCCCUCUAUACUGUUCAUAGGAUGCUUGCCUCGUUUGUUUGUUUGUUUGUGUUUGCUGUGGUCAGUUGUGUACAUUCUCCGCACCAGACUAAAGUCCUGGAUGGCAGAAUGUCCUCCAUUCUACCUAAUUUUGGGGUAUACAUAGCACAAAGGAAAAUAAACCCCUUAAAAAUUGGAGAGAAGACAAAUCUGGUUGCUUCUUCAGUGAAAAUCUGUUGGGUUUUGCCUACCUGGAAUCCACCCCUCUUCUUCUGGUAACAGCAUCAUCAUGAUACACUUACUCUGAUCAUGCACAAAAACUGGUUCUCUGGAGCAGUCAUGUAACCAAGAUCUAGAUAAUAAAUGCAUUCUGUCUCCCUAAACACCAUGGCUCAGCAAUGGGCACCUAACCCAAGCCAGGCCAAUGCAGUUUAAUUGUAAGAGUUUUUUAGUGAACUAUUGAGAGAAAGAGAAGCUUUUAUUCAGCCGGACUUGAAACUGAAAAGAUGUGUGCCUGGAGCCUGUUAGAAGCCAUCACUUGAGGAGAGCCUGCUUGAAAAUGAAGUCAAUAUGCAGCAGAACUGAUCCGAAAAUGCGUUGAUGACAUUGUUUGAAUCCUUGGAUCCAGCUGUGCCAGAAACUUUGAAAUUACAUAAACCAACAAAUUUUGAACUGGGUUUUCCUUUGCUUAUAAUGAAAAGAACACUGCCUAAUGAAUCCUCUGAAAUUUCAGUUGGCAUAACCAACAUUCAAAGCCAUCUUCCUGUCAAAGGGUGAUGGAAGAAUUUGAUUAUACUCCAAGUUUCAAUAAAGAAAAAAUGGAAAAAAAAAAAAGAAAAAAUGGAGGGAUACCUAGGUGGCUCAGUUGGUUGAGCAUCCAACUCUUCAUUUCGGCUCAGGAUCAAACUACAUGUCAGACUCUAUGCUCAACUCAGAGUCUGCUAAUUUUUCUCCCUCUGCUCCUCCCCUACUCACACAGCACUCUCUUUCUCAAAUGAAUGAAUAAAUAAAAUAUUUUAAAAAAUGAAAAAAUGGAUAUUUCUAGGAAGUUG
Molecule: long non-coding RNA, 1829 nt
Organism: Canis lupus familiaris (dog)
Lineage: Eukaryota; Metazoa; Chordata; Mammalia; Carnivora; Canidae
Exons: 3
Source: RefSeq, a predicted model, not a curated record